RNAcentral lists this ribosomal RNA (119 nucleotides) under Pteropus alecto (black flying fox). The record is from RNAcentral. Lineage: Eukaryota; Metazoa; Chordata; Mammalia; Chiroptera; Pteropodidae.
GUCUACAGUCAUGUCACUCUGAACAAGCCCGAUUCCGUCUGAUCUCAGAAGCUAAGCAGGGUCAGACCUGGUUAGUACUCGGAUGGGAGACCACCUAGGAAGACCAGGUUCUGUAGGCA